Molecule: ribosomal RNA, 492 nt
Filed under: uncultured bacterium
Lineage: Bacteria
Description: bacterial SSU rRNA
Rfam family: Bacterial small subunit ribosomal RNA
Source: RNAcentral
UNAUUCGAUGAUACGCGAGGNACCUUACCAGGGCUUNAAUGCAAGUUGAAUGAUGUGGAAACAUGUCAGUCUUCGGACAAUUUGCAAGGUGCUGCAUGGCUGUCGUCAGCUCGUGCCGUGAGGUGUUGGGUUAAGUCCCGCAACGAGCGCAACCCCCAUCUUUAGUUGCUAGCAGGUAAUGCUGAGGACUCUAAAGAAACUGCCUACGCAAGUAGUGAGGAAGGCGGGGACGACGUCAAGUCAUCACGGCCCUUACGUCCUGGGCCACACACGUGCUACAAUGGUUGGUACAGAGGGCAGCUACUGGGUGACCAGAUGCGAAUCUCUAAAGCCAAUCUCAGUUCGGAUUGGAGUCUGCAACUCGACUCUAUGAAGCUGGAAUCGCUAGUAAUCGCGCAUCAGCCAUGGCGCGGUGAAUACGUUCCCGGGCCUUGUACACACCGCCCGUCAAACAAUGGAAGCUGGGGGUGCCUGAAGUCGGUAACCGCAAGG